GCCUUGCUGGCUCAGCUGGUAGAGCAUGCGACUCUCGAUCUCAGGGCCGUGAGUUCAAGCCCCAUGUGGGGCG
Non-coding RNA from Neomonachus schauinslandi (Hawaiian monk seal), 73 nucleotides. The record is from the annotation of a RefSeq genome assembly. Lineage: Eukaryota; Metazoa; Chordata; Mammalia; Carnivora; Phocidae.